RNAcentral lists this ribosomal RNA (253 nucleotides) under uncultured bacterium. RNAcentral's name for it is "partial 16S ribosomal RNA". It matches the Rfam family "Bacterial small subunit ribosomal RNA", at positions 524 to 776 of the family's 1533-position model. The record is from RNAcentral.
GACGAAGGAUGCAAGCGUUAUCCGGAUUCAUUGGGUUUAAAGGGAGCGUAGGCGGAUAGGUAAGUCAGUGGUGAAAUCCCAUCGCUUAACGAUGGAACUGCCAUUGAUACUGCUUAUCUAGAGUACAGUUGCCGUUGGCGGAAUAUGACAUGUAGUGGUGAAAUACUUAGAUAUGUCAUAGAACACCGAUUGCGAAGGCAGCUAACGAAGCUGUAACUGACGCUGAGGUGCGAAAGCGUGGGGAGCAAACAGG